AGGGCAUAAAUUUAGAACUUUUCUUCUAUCAAAAAUGAAGCUUUCAAAAAAGCCUGUGCCUCCAAGUUUCAGCUAAACUUCCUGAGAUGAGUAGGCAAACUGAAGGGGAACACAGGAGAUGGCCAUUAGUGAUACCUCUUUGUGCUUCACCAGCCCCCCAUCCCAAGCCAAAAUCACUACACUGGCCAAGGUUAAAUCUGUCCUAAAAUACCUUCUUCAUAUCUCUGAACAGUCAAGUGCCAAAAGAAAUGAACAGAUUGACCUGAGCUGAGGGAACCUGAAAAUUCUGCAAAAUUCCUU
Antechinus flavipes (yellow-footed antechinus) is the source of this 300-nucleotide long non-coding RNA. RefSeq lists it as uncharacterized. The transcript is spliced from 4 exons. NCBI's taxonomy places the organism in Eukaryota, Metazoa, Chordata, Mammalia, Dasyuromorphia, Dasyuridae. The record is from RefSeq and is a predicted model, not a curated record.